AACAGCUCAAAUUUGAAAUCUGGCCCUCGGGUCCGAGUUGUAAUUUGCAGAGGAUGCUUUUGGCGCGGUGCCUUCCGAGUUCCCUGGAACGGGACGCCUUAGAGGGUGAGAGCCCCGUACGGUUGGACACUAAGCCUCUGUAAAGCUCCUUCGACGAGUCGAGUAGUUUGGGAAUGCUGCUCUAAACGGGAGGUAAAUUUCUUCUAAAGCUAAAUACCGGCCAGAGACCGAUAGCGCACAAGUAGAGUGAUCGAAAGAUGAAAAGCACUUUGAAAAGAGGGUUAAAUAGCACGUGAAAUUGUUGAAAGGGAAGCGUUUACGGCCAGACCUUUUCUUGGGGGAUCAUCCGGCGUUCUCGCCGGUGCACUUCCCCAGGUUUAGGCCAGCAUCGGCUUCCGCGGGGGGAUAAAAGCAGUGGGAAAGUAGCUCCCUCGGGAGUGUUAUAGCCCUAAGCAUAAUACCCUCGCGGGGGCCGAGGACCGCGCUUCGGCAAGGAUGCUGGCGUAAUGGUCGUCAACGACCCGUCUUGAAACACGGACCAAGGAGUCGAACAUUUGUGCGAGUGUUUGGGUGUUAAACCCCUACGCGGAAUGAAAGUGAACGGAGGUGAGAGCCCCUUCCGGGGGUGCAUCAUCGACCGAUCCUGAUGUCUUCGGAUGGAUUUGAGUAAGAGCAUAACUGUUCGGACCCGAAAGAUGGUGAACUAUGCGUGGAUAGGGUGAAGCCAGAGGAAACUCUGGUGGAGGCUCGCAGCGGUUCUGACGUGCAAAUCGAUCGUCAAAUCUGCGCAUGGGGGCGAAAGACUUAUCGAACCAUCUAGUAGCUGGUUACCGCCGAAGUUUCCCUCAGGAUAGCAGUGUUGUGUUCAGUUUUAUGAGGUAAAGCGAAUGAUUAGGGACUCGGGGGCGCUUAUUAGCCUUCAUCCAUUCUCAAACUUUAAAUAUGUAAGAAGCCCUUGUUGCUUAGUUGAACGUGGGCAUUCGAAUGUAUCAACACUAGUGGGCCAUUUUUGGUAAGCAGAACUGGCGAUGCGGGAUGAACCGAACGCGGGGUUAAGGUGCCGGAGUGGACGCUCAUCAGACACCACAAAAGGUGUUAGUACAUCUAGACAGCAGGACGGUGGCCAUGGAAGUCGGAAUCCGCUAAGGACUGUGUAACAACUCACCUGCCGAAUGUACUAGCCCUGAAAAUGGAUGGCGCUCAAGCGUCCCACCCAUACCUCGCCCUCG
This 1229-nucleotide ribosomal RNA is filed under the name fungal endophyte. RNAcentral describes it as "eukaryotic LSU rRNA". It matches the Rfam family "Eukaryotic large subunit ribosomal RNA", at positions 103 to 1357 of the family's 3401-position model. The record is from RNAcentral. Lineage: Eukaryota; Fungi. RNAcentral also lists the same sequence under 1 other name.